AGAGUUUGAUCCUGGCUCAGGAUGAACGCUAGCGGCAGGCUUAAUACAUGCAAGUCGAGGGGCAGCAGCUUUAUAGCGAUAUAGAGGCUGGCGACCGGCAAACGGGUGCGGAACACGUACACAACCUUCCUUUAAGAGGGGGAUAGCCCAUAGAAAUGUGGAUUAAUACCCCGUAAUAUUAUUGAAGUGGCAUCACUUUAUAAUUAUAGUUACGACGCUUGAAGAUGGGUGUGCGGCUGAUUAGGUAGUUGGCGGGGUAAAGGCCCACCAAGCCUUCGAUCAGUAGCUGAUGUGAGAGCAUGAUCAGCCACACGGGCACUGAGACACGGGCCCGACUCCUACGGGAGGCAGCAGUAAGGAAUAUUGGUCAAUGGACGCAAGUCUGAACCAGCCAUGCCGCGUGAAGGAUGAAGGUCCUCUGGAUUGUAAACUUCUUUUAUAGGGGGCGAAAAAAGGGAAUUCUUUCUCACUUGACAGUACCCUAUGAAUAAGCACCGGCUAACUCCGUGCCAGCAGCCGCGGUAAUACGGAGGGUGCAAGCGUUAUCCGGAUUCACUGGGUUUAAAGGGUGCGUAGGCGGGUAUAUAAGUCAGUGGUGAAAUCCUGGAGCUUAACUCCAGAACUGCCAUUGAUACUAUGGAUCUUGAAUAUGGUGGAGGUAAGCGGAAUAUGUCAUGUAGCGGUGAAAUGCAUAGAUAUGGCAUAGAACACCUAUUGCGAAGGCAGCUUACUACGCCUAUAUUGACGCUGAGGCACGAAAGCGUGGGGAUCAAACAGGAUUAGAUACCCUGGUAGUCCACGCCCUAAACGAUGAUUACUCGACGUAUGCGAUACACAGUAUGCGUCUGAGCGAAAGCGUUAAGUUAUCCACCUGGGGAGUACGCCGGCAACGGUGAAACUCAAAGGAAUUGACGGGGGCCCGCACAAGCGGAGGAACAUGUGGUUUAAUUCGAUGAUACGCGAGGAACCUUACCCGGGCUUGAACGUAGGGAGACAGUUCUGGAAACAGAAUCUCUAGCAAUAGCUGCCUACGAGGUGCUGCAUGGUUGUCGUCAGCUCGUGCCGUGAGGUGUCGGCUUAAGUGCCAUAACGAGCGCAACCCACAUCGAUAGUUACUAACAGGUAGUGCUGAGGACUCUAUCGAGACUGCCAGCGUAAGCUGUGAGGAAGGUGUGGAUGACGUCAAAUCAGCACGGCCCUUACGUCCGGGGCGACACACGUGUUACAAUGGGAGGUACAAAGGGCAGCUACCUGGCGACAGGAUGCUAAUCUCUAAAACCUUUCUCAGUUCGGAUUGGAGUCUGCAACUCGACUCCAUGAAGCUGGAUUCGCUAGUAAUCGCGCAUCAGCCAUGGCGCGGUGAAUACGUUCCCGGGCCUUGUACACACCGCCCGUCAAGCCAUGGAAGCUGGGGGUACCUGAAGUAUGCAACCGCAAGGAGCGUCCUAGGGUAAAACCGGUAACUGGGGCUAAGUCGUAACAAGGUAAAC
RNAcentral lists this ribosomal RNA (1490 nucleotides) under uncultured bacterium. Its description in RNAcentral is "partial 16S ribosomal RNA". It matches the Rfam family "Bacterial small subunit ribosomal RNA". The record is from RNAcentral.